CCGCCGAGCCCACGGCUCUUCGCACGCGCGGAAGUUCUUACCUGGGUUCCAUCGCGGCCACUCCCGGGCAGCAGCGACCGCCCGGCCUCCUCGGCGCUGGGAGCUCAGCCCUCGUUAGCCCUCAGACAAAUGAGCCCCUUAUAGUCACCAGGCUUGCAAAUCCACAGGCUCUGGAGCUUCCCUGAGGUGGGAUGGGUGCUGAGCAGCUCUGCCUCCAGCACGGUGCACCACCGCUCCUCUGCUUCACCCAAGGACAAGGCCACCAGGCUGCCUCCGUUGAAGUAAAAGGCCAGUAUCCCAACCCAUCAGGUCUACUGCGUGAGCUUUCUCAGUGCUGGGACAAAGUCCUGGAUGUAAAUGACCCAAGGAAGCGCUUAUUCUGCCUCGUGGUUUUAGAAGAAUCAGCCCACAGUUCCUAGGCCCCAGGCACUAGGGAAGAACAUGAAAGUGACAGGAGGUACGAAGAGAGGAAGGGAGCUGGGGACAAGCCCUCAACACACGCACCUGUGCCACCUUCCCUGCACAGACAAAGCUUGCUUCCGCCCAUCCUCUCCUGCCCGGCUGUUUGCCAUCAUCUGGAAGAGCAGUGCUUUGCCUACGAGGACAGAGGAGGAGGUAGAUAAGCUGAGACCCAGGGACGUCAAAAGACCCAACGCCAUACUCCACCAUGCUCCAGAUGUUCCUGCGAAUGGACGCUGCGUUUCCUGCCCUCAGCACUCUUGGUGCUCUGGGGUGAG
RNAcentral lists this long non-coding RNA (737 nucleotides) under Meriones unguiculatus (Mongolian gerbil). Its description in RNAcentral is "lncRNA (ENSMUGG00000013976.1)". The record is from RNAcentral. Lineage: Eukaryota; Metazoa; Chordata; Mammalia; Rodentia; Muridae.